AUUGAACGCUGGCGGCAUGCCUUACACAUGCAAGUCGAACGGCAGCACGGGAGCAAUCCUGGUGGCGAGUGGCGAACGGGUGAGUAAUACAUCGGAACGUGCCCAAUCGUGGGGGAUAACGCCGCGAAAGCUGUGCUAAUACCGCAUACGAUCUACGGAUGAAAGCAGGGGACCGCAAGGCCUUGCGCGAAUGGAGCGGCCGAUGGCAGAUUAGGUAGUUGGUGGGGUAAAGGCUCACCAAGCCAACGAUCUGUAGCUGGUCUGAGAGGACGACCAGCCACACGGGGACGGAGACACGGCCCAGACGCCUGAGGGAGGCAGCAGUGGGGAAUUGUGGACAAUGGGCGCAAGCCUGAUCCAGCCAUGCCGCGUGCAGGAUGAAGGCCUUCGGGUUGUAAACUGCUUUUGUACGGAACGAAACGGCCUUGUCUAAUAAAGAGGGUUAAUGACGGUACCGUAAGAAUAAGCACCGGCUAACUACGUG
RNAcentral lists this ribosomal RNA (484 nucleotides) under uncultured bacterium. Its description in RNAcentral is "partial 16S ribosomal RNA". It matches the Rfam family "Bacterial small subunit ribosomal RNA", at positions 29 to 507 of the family's 1533-position model. The record is from RNAcentral.